AGCGCAGACGGAUGGACAAGUCUGAUGUGAAAGGCUGGGGGCUCAACCCCGGGACUGCAUUGGAAACUGCCCGUCUUGAGUGCCGGAGAGGUAAGCGGAAUUCCUAGUGUAGCGGUGAAAUGCGUAGAUAUUAGGAGGAACACCAGUGGCGAAGGCGGCUUACUGGACGGUAACUGACGUUGAGGCUCGAAAGCGUGGGGAGCAAAC
Molecule: ribosomal RNA, 207 nt
Filed under: uncultured bacterium
Lineage: Bacteria
Description: partial 16S ribosomal RNA
Rfam family: Bacterial small subunit ribosomal RNA
Source: RNAcentral